RNAcentral lists this long non-coding RNA (1561 nucleotides) under Equus asinus (donkey). Its description in RNAcentral is "lncRNA (ENSEASG00005024235.1)". Lineage: Eukaryota; Metazoa; Chordata; Mammalia; Perissodactyla; Equidae. The record is from RNAcentral.
AAACUGAUGUUUCUUCCAACCCCAUGAAAGGUACAGUAUGAUAAAAACUGUUCAGACCCAAAGCCGUGUCUGCCUUUGUGAGCUAUAAUUAUUUUAGGAUCUGGCAGGAUCACAUUGAAACGUUUUAAAUGGAACUAGUUUUGCAGAGAGGUUUUGCUGCCUCAGCUCUUUGGAGGAAGGUGGCUACAAUUCAAAUUCUUCUAAAGAUAAAUUUUUAAGAAAAUAAGACAAAAGCUUAGUGAUGGUUGAGCCCUUUGUAUCAGAAAAUCUCUAAGCAGCUAAGUUACAUUGAGAGGGUUGGAUAAGGGACUCUGUUACUAGAAACGCUUUUUAAGGGAGAAGAAGUCUUCCAAUCUGGCUUCAAUAUCAUGCUCAUGUGGAUAUUAAUAUCCUUGGAAUUAAUAGCUUUCCCCCCUGGAAAAUGUGAAACGGCAACAUCUUAAAAUGGCCGAUAUGUGUUAGGUAGCUGUUUCUAAUUUUGCUUUAAAGAAGUGUCUGUAGUGCCUAGCUCCUGUUACAGACUAAUGACCUUCCAAAUAUCACUUUUAACAAGUUUAGACUUUAAGUUACAAGAGCACAAAGCAGCGCAAGAGUCAAGUUGAAGGAUGAGAAGUUUGCACCUGCUGCUCUGCUCUGCACCCUUAAUUAUAUGAGGACAGAUGUGCUUGCUCAGUCUCUGUACAUUACUGCUGGCGGUGGAUCUGCCAAGGCUCUGGCAAAACUUGCAAAGGAAUUAGUGCUCUCAGGGCCAUAAAGUAGAGGCACCUUUCUAUUUUUACUUCAUAGCAAAGCAGACUUCUCUGGACGUGAUAUGGUGCUAAUUCACUCUUACAAUCAAGGGUUGCAACUAAUUCAUCCUUUUGCUUAAUCACAGCGAUCAGAGGUGGAAGAAAGCAAUACAUGAGUGUUCCAGCUGCUUUGCACAUCCACCAGUACUUGGUAGUGUCAGUUUUUGUAAAUUAUAACCAUUCUAAAAGGCAAAGGAGCUUUGAAUUUGUGAUGAUAAAACUUGAAAAAGAAUUUGUAAUCUGCCACAUUCUACUGCUCGAAACUCCCAGAGAAACCACGUAGCACAUCUGACUUAUCCUCCAACAAGGACUGCCCUCUGAUGUGUCUGAAAGAAAGGAACACCAACUGCUGCAUUGUAACCUUCUCUUUGGGGAGGCCAAUGUGGCAGGAACCUGAUAUCUCUAGCCAACAGUCACUGAGGACCUGAGGCCUGCCAACAACAUGUGAGUGAGCUUGGACGUGGAUCUUCCCACAGUUCAGCCUUAAGAUGACUACAGCUCCAGCUGACAAUCUAAUCACAGCCUUAUGAGAGACUCUGAGCCUGUGGACCUAGCUAAGCCACACCUGAUCCCUGACUCACAAAAACUGUGAGAUAAUAAAUGUUUGUUGUUUGAAGCCACUAAGCUUUGGGACAAUCUGUUACAUAGCAAUAGAUAACUAAUACCGGUUUUUAAAAAAUCCUUUUAUUUAGGUCAUAAUCGUUUGUAACAUUGUGAAAUUUCAGGUGCACGUUAUUAUUUAUCACUUUCUGUGUAGACUGCAUCGUGCUCAC